RNAcentral lists this long non-coding RNA (202 nucleotides) under Mytilus galloprovincialis (Mediterranean mussel). The record is from RNAcentral. Lineage: Eukaryota; Metazoa; Mollusca; Bivalvia; Mytilida; Mytilidae.
CUUCUUUAUGACUAUAAAUACUAGGAAAAAGAAAUAACCUAGUAAACUGAAUUAGUAAGUCUAUCAAGCCUCUAAUCCUUGUUGUUAGGAGUAUAUUAAGAAAAUAAAAUUGCAAUGAAUAACAAUACAGUAGAAAGUAGGUCAACAAACACUAUCUCGAUGUGGCUAUAUAUGUAUGUAGAUUUAUGUUAAAUUGAAGGGC